This 498-nucleotide ribosomal RNA is filed under the name uncultured bacterium. RNAcentral describes it as "partial 16S ribosomal RNA". It matches the Rfam family "Bacterial small subunit ribosomal RNA", at positions 30 to 523 of the family's 1533-position model. The record is from RNAcentral.
AUUGAACGCUGGCGGCAUGCCUUACACAUGCAAGUCGAACGGUAACAGGUCUUCGGAUGCUGACGAGUGGCGAACGGGUGAGUAAUACAUCGGAACGUGCCUAGUAGUGGGGGAUAACUACUCGAAAGAGUGGCUAAUACCGCAUGAGAUCUACGGAUGAAAGCAGGGGAUAGCAAGACCUUGUGCUACUAGAGCGGCCGAUGGCAGAUUAGGUAGUUGGUGGGAUAAAAGCUUACCAAGCCGACGAUCUGUAGCUGGUCUGAGAGGACGAUCAGCCACACGGGGACUGGAACACGGACCAGAAUCCUACGGGAGGCAGCAGUGGGGAAUUUUGGACAAUGGGCGAAAGCCUGAUCCAGCAAUGCCGCGUGCAGGGUGAAGGCCUUCGGGUUGUAAACUGCUUUUGUACGGAACGAAAAGCCCCGGGUUAAUACCCUGGGGUCAUGACGGUACCGUAAGAAUAAGCACCGGCUAACUACGUGCCAGCCGCCGCCGUAA